Non-coding RNA from Paramuricea clavata, 10500 nucleotides. The record is from the annotation of a GenBank genome assembly. NCBI's taxonomy places the organism in Eukaryota, Metazoa, Cnidaria, Anthozoa, Malacalcyonacea, Plexauridae.
AUCGUAAUCGCCAUGCAACAUGGCAAGUGUGGCGUCGGUGCUUGUUGCCGUGUUCUUAGUUUCAAUAGUUUGUAUUUUUAUUGAAAAAGACAAAGCAACACAACAAAGGUAAAAUAUCACUCGUCCAAAUUUUAAAGUUUUCAAAAGUCUAGCAAAGAUGUAUAUUGUAUGUAUAUUUCUUAUAUCUUUAUAGUAAGUUUCUCAGUUGAUAUUUAAUAAAGAUAGACUACCUGAAAAAUACGAGAGCUUCGAUCGAGGUCUCGACCGAAUUAAGGCCCUUCAACUUCCAGAAUCCAGACGAAGUUCGCUUGAAACAACCAAGUUCUCGUUAUAUUUUUCAGAUUGUCUAUCUUAUCUUACUGGCACCCCACGUUCGAGAUAUACGUUGCGUCUCUAAACGGUCGAAAACAACCUUUCGUGUUAAUAAUCGUCGUUGAUACGACCAGAGGUUCUUAUUGAAUUUUACUUCUCGGAUAUGUAGAAAGUUAAUAAUUGUAAAUAUGCCGGCGAUUUAUAAUACAUUUUGCCUCUAAAUGAAAGAUCUCAUUCCAGCAUAUUUUUGAUAUGCUUCGAUAUUUGUGCAGUUGACUAUUUAAACUAUUUACUAGUCUAUUACUGUAAUAGCGAGCUUAAGCAUGUAGGAGGGCAACGCGGCGACGACGGCCAAAACAAAUUCCUUCAAAUAAAUGAUAGUAAAGAAAACUUGUCGUAUAUUAUAAUUCCUAUGAAUUUAAUACAGUAUAAGAAGUUGAAAACGUUGGCUUUUAUGUUUGGGAAGAGUUCUACUGAACCGAACAGACUGAAGUUUAAAUAUUUCAUGUUUGCCUUGCAACUUUUGCCAGUAUUAUAUUAUUUCAACUAUAAACAGAGGUCAAAACAAAGGUCGAAGUAUUGAAGCGACAUUUUUUGUGUCAAAUACCCAUUUUUCUGCAAGACGAAAUUAGUUCAGUAUGAAAAUAAUAAUAAAACAUAUCCUAUAAAACUUCUCAUAUUUUAUAAUAAAGAUCCUACAUUAAUUGGCACCAACAAAGGCAAGUACAAUAGUCAAUAACUUUGAAUUGAAGCCUCAUCAUUUCAAUUAACCAGAUUUUGUAAGAGGCACUUUUGCCAUUUUGAUUUGAACAUGAAUAUGGAUGUGGCCCCUUAAUUUAAUAAUAGUUGUAUUUCUAAAAAGGCUAUAACAUAGGGAAGAUAUAAAGUGCUUUUGGACCACUUUUGAUUGGAUAAAUUGACAUCUAGGGAGAUCUAACGUCAUUAUGUAAUUUAUAGUAUUAUUCAUCUUGCGUUUUAUAUAUGAGAACCAGGCUAGCCCACCCAGGGGUGCAUAUUGGGGGGAGGUGUGGAGGAUUGUGAUACCCCCAAAAUUUGCAAAGUCGGUCUUGGUGCAUUAUAAAGUCAGUCCUAAAACAAACAAAAGCCGCUUUACUGUACUUCAGUUGGUUUGUGGGUUGAAUUUUGAGAAAAUGUGAGAAUGAAUGGACCAUGAGAGAUGCAAUAGGAGAUAUAAUAGGAGCCUUUUUGGGACAUACGUCCAGAAAAAAAUUUUCCAAUGGGGGAAAACAUCUUUCGACAGAGGGAACUUUUUUUAGGUUGGUCCAGAAAAAUUCCUAUCGGAUCGAGUCGAUCCCACCCAACCGACAUUCCCCCCCAAAAAUUGAAUUUGUCCCCUUGAGCCCACAUAGGCGAGAUCCGGAUCUUGACAGGGUUCGAAUUAUUAGCAGGUAGUAAAUCGCAAUUUGCGAGCCGAUUUUUGGCAUUUGCGAAUUGAAAAUUUUAUUUUUUGCGAAUCGAAAUGUUCCAAUAAAAUGUCCUAGUUUUUAAUUUUUGUUUUUUAUAAAAUGUACCUGAUAUAUUUAUGCAAUUCGGGAUGAAAUUUACAUUGCUUGUUUACAUUUUUUCGUGUUGUGAGCAGAAUGGCAGAGUAUUCAUUUUACUGUUUUUACGGCCAAGAAUUUCAAUUGCUCCCUAUGUUGUUCACUCAGUCCAUUUAAGGUCACAUAAAUGAUAAUCAGGCACAAGGGUGAUGCGAUCCUUAAAAAUACAGAAAACCGGCACAACAUACACUAGUGUUCAUAUGAGGCAGGCUGGCUCCCCAAAACCAACGACUGGCUCACUGCUAUAAAUAGUACCGGUACAUAUUUUCUCAUGAACCUGAAUUUGGCACAUUUCCAGCCCGCCUAGGCAAGCAGGGUUCGAAUGUGCUCUGGAAAUAGAUGUUUACCCCUUCCCUUUAGGAAUUCUAGGUCGGAAAAUCUUAACUUCUGGAAUUUUGAAGUUCUAACCUAAGGGGGUGUACAGUCCUAGGAGGGGGGGAUGAAAAAACAUGCCACCAUUUCACUCUAAUGCCAGACAAUCUACUCACUCUACUAAAUUACUGCCAGUUUAUGGGUUAAUAUGAUAUUUGCUUACAAUUCUUGCCAUAAUGUUUGUAACAUGUGCAUAAUAGCUAGUGCAAAUUACCUUUUCUCCUACGCCAUGGCAGAUCUUUCACUCCAUAGUCAUAACGUAAUUCUUCAUGCAGCCUAAUAUUUUUUUUAGCAUAAAGUGCCAGAUGAGGUUGGCUGUUGAUUAUCACUUUUCUCAUGUGGCAAUUUGCCGUCUUGGGCUCUGAAUCAUUUACCAUCCUACCAAGCCCAUCCGAAAAUGUUGCAUCCACACUUAAUAAAGAUCAAGGAUUAUAUAUAAACAUUAUGGUAACAUUAUGUCAUCUGGCUAAGAAGAGUUCAAGGUUUUUAAUUAAAUAAACUUAUGCUAUUUGUCUAUCCUUAUAAAAAUUUAUACCCUUUUAUGUUUGUACAACUUACCAAAAAGAAUCACAAAAGAACAAGAAGCUCCCAAGUUCUUUAUUGUAUGACUGUUCUCGUUGUUCACCUUCAUGUUUUGUUACCAAUUCGCCCUUGUAUUCAAGGAGGUAUUCUCCUUUUAAGAAGGGCCUCUUUGCAAAGAUGCCAUGACCUAAUGGAAAAACACAGUUUUAGUAUGCCAAGCCAAGGGCCUGCCAAAUUAACUCACAAACAUGAGUAACAUACAAAUUGGCCAGGUAGAGUGUGCUUGCUUGCAAGCUAGCUGUACCACCUCAUCACAGACUGUAUUCUGUGUCUAUAGGUGGGUUUCACUAGGUCUCACACAUGGUCAUAAAAUUCUAAAAUCAGCGCUAAAAAGCUGGGUUGUUCUUAUCAUUCCUAUAUAUAAGUGAUUUCACAAAGAAUUUUGAAUCCAUACAAUUAUUUCCUUUUGCAUUACAGAGUGUUGCAAUUAUAUAAUUUUUAACACUCCACACAUACUGUACACUGUACUUCACCAAAUGAUAAUUUUAUGAGAUCUAGUGAAACCCGCCUAUAAACUUACUACUGCCAAUCAGGCCUCGAAUUUCCCUGAAAUUAAUCGACGGCAAUGGCGCUAAAAAUUGCUGUAGAACGUAACAGCUGUCUACGGCAAUUUUGGCAGUUUCCGCUGCAUUUUUCUAAUUACUGUAAUAAAAAUUUAAUUUUAUAUUGUUACUUUGGAUUGUUGACAAGCUACAGUAGAAACAUGUCUACGUAUUUCCUUAGUGGUUUUGUUUAAGAAAACUGAGACUAAAAUAGUGAUUUACGUAUGAUUUGAUCAACACCUGAAUUCAAGUAUCCAAGUAGUAAUGCACAGUGAAUAGUAUAAAAAUUGCACUAUACGGCAAAAAAUUGCCGCGAUAAAAUUCAAGCCCUGCUGCCAAUAUCAUACGAUGGAGAUGCUGCCAACUAAGAUGCAUACCAGAUAAAUUUAUUGAAGCUGACAUCAAAUGUUAUAAAUUAUACUGUACAUGAAGUCCCAAAUGUAAAUUUGUUCUGUUUAUUUUUUAAUGUAUUGGAAAUUUGAUACCUAUAUAAUUAUUAAUAAAUCUCUGUUCUAGGUCUUUGCUGUCAUUGGGAAGAGAUUCAGAGGUUGGUUGUCUUUGUUUCUAGAAAACAAAUAUGGUACAAAUAUGGUACUGGUAUUUACUACUUUUCCACUGUUGAGUGAAAUCAUUUGGUGUUAGACAGAGUAAAAUGCUAAACACAAGUAAAAUGCUAAAGACAGAGUAAAAUGCUAGGCACAUCUGGGCAGAAAUACAAAUAGAAAAAACAAAUAGAAAAAUAUGCACAUCUGUGCCUAUUAACUCAUUAACUGGCAACAAGCCAUGCAUCUGUAUGCCUCUGAAUGCACCUGUAUGUUAGUAUUUUUUAGUAUUUUACUCUGUUUAAUUAACAUCAGACUGUUUUACUUGUUAUUGAAAGAGUAGUGCCAGUAAAUGGGCUAACAAACUAUUUGUAAAGAGUCUCUUGUUAAUCGAUUACUGUAGCUGUCAAUCACGCCCAAAUGUUCCCUGACCAACCCUGGAGUACAGGUAUUUUACUAUGUAUAACACCAGAUGAUUUUAAGUGAAAGGGUACUGCCAGUUAAUGGGUUAACUUAUUUUACUUCAGUAUUGCAAUGUAUUUGGGGAUUUGGUGGAUCAAUGCAUUGCCUAUUACAUUUCUUAUCAUUAUAAGGACCAUCAAUUCCUUAUCUGGGAGGGGGAUAGAAGAAUUAGGACAUGGGUGAAAAAAGAUUGGCAAGAACAUCAGUUACCUUGAAAGCACACAAUAGCCAUUCUGGGCUAACUAAGAAAUUAAAAAAUUGCUAUAGCGAGAAGACUCAAGAUACUCAUACAGUAUUCUAAUGCAAGUCGCAAGAUCCAAUGCCGAACUAUGCCAUCAUACAUGUUAUUUUGGGAUAAAUACAUGUAUGUAUACUUUGGAAAGAAUAUGGGAAAUAUUCGAAAUAUUACUAUUAAAGAGAGGACCACUACGAUGCAGGCUGUCAAAAAGAUGUUGGGCUCUGAGAUAACCUUUUAAGAAACUAGAAAUAACAACCUGGGUCAGAUGCUAGAAAAGUAGAAAAUUUACUUUUUGGAUAUUUAUUAUGUACUAACCAUAUUUAGGUUGUUAGACUCAGGUUACUGUAGGAUGCAAAUUCAUCAACUAAUGCCAUAGAAGUAUGUGGUUUGAGUUGUUUGACUAUAGAAUAUUCUUGACAUUUGAAUAAUUUUAUUCAUCAAAUAUCAAGCAGCCAAUCAAGCUAUGGUUUUGUUUGCUACUGCCAAAAUUGAGUCCUUUCUCUGGCUCAAAUAUUCAAAACAACUCCCCUGGUAGGGCAUGCUGGUAAAAGUUUGAGUAUAAUAGGGUGGGCCAAGAUUAAGGGUACACCAGCCCCCUCCUAAACAAAAUGAACCUAUGUUUAUUUCUAACCAAUGUAUUAUUUCUUCCCUAGCAUAUUCAUUAAGGAUCUGUGUAAUUACACUGUUACAGCUACUGUGAAUUAGGAUUCAGAUUUAACUGACACACAACAGGUAAAUAUCGCAUGAUAUAACUGAAAUAGAAUAAAUACAUACAAUAGGUGGAUUUAUUGAGGAGGGUGCACCCUUCUUCUUGGCUAUGCUUUGCCUAUGAGAUGCAAGAGAAGUGCCAAUUUUCAUAUCAAAUUUUAAAUUUGCAUAAGCAGGCAUCUAGCCAAUCUCAUUUUUAUUUUUUCUGACAAGCCAACCAUGCUGAACCCAUGGUAGGAUCCUUAGUCAUCACUAAUCAUCAUUCAUUAGUGAUGGUCAAUCCAUGCUUUGUGACUAGAAACCACUCAUGAAUGCCCCUUACUAUAUCAAGCUGCAUCAUUCUCUGAUAUGUAAUAUGACGGUAUAUAGUAAUUUGGCCCUGCAUAUGCAUGCAAGAUUUCAGGAUUUUCGCUUGCGAAGGUUGUUCAAACCAACAGCAUCCAUGUCUUUCUGAAAAAUAUGUCUAGUAUAUUUAUUUUUCCCUCGUCAUGUCUGAUAUAUUUCAAAAUCACACAGAUAUGAGACAAUUGCAGCAAAAAUUACGAUCCGUCUGCCACGAGUACUGUAUAAUGAGGUUUCAUCAUUUUUAUGACUUGCAAGAGUAUUAGUCAAGGUCAUUGUCGAAGGCCCAAAAAAUCAGGUCGAAGGUCGAAGGCCACUAAAAGUGAAAAAUUAUUCCUACCGCCCGCAUUUGUCUUUUUUUUCAAAGCUAGACCUUUUCAAACUAAAUCAUUUGCCUGUUUUUGUGUUAAAAAUUGACUCCAUGUGAGAAAGACCGUUUAAGAAAAUUUCGCCUUUGCGAUAUAUAGAUGCAUGCCAUAAAAUGAGAUGUUGUCUCAACGACUUGCGCUUUACUCCCUUUAGGCUUUAGCACAAACGGCAAAUUUUGCAAGAAAGGACAGGGGAAUUCAACAUAUGAGUAGUAUAGAUAUUACUUUUUUCGCAUUUUUCACUUUUCAUCUGUAGGGGCUAUAUGCAGAGGAAAAUUUGCAUAUUCAGAGCUUACCUUCAUUCGAAGACUCGAUCGAGUGGCUUCUUUUUGGUCCGCCAUUUUGAAGCAGCUAUAGACGCUUCUAUGCGAGCAGCUUAAGAAUACGAUUUCCAAUCCUGAACAUAUAGAAAAAGAAAAAAAAACCUAUUGCAGAAAAACCGGGCAGAAUAUUUCGAAUUUUAUCUUGUAUACAGGAUUAAUGAACAAGUGAAAGGCAUUGCGGUUUUGUUGCUGUAGCGUAAAUUAUGCCUCAGUGUUGUUUCAGUGAAAAACUGAAAAUCGUUUCCAAAAAGGGCAGGAAUAUCCUAUGGGAUUACUCAUAAAUGAUUAGAAUAUGGAACCUUGUCUUUUUUUCCAACUGCUAAUGUGUGUUUUAGCUUUUAGUCGUAUUAAAUUGCGCGUUUAAAACACAGAAAACUUACUUUUCACAGCUGAGCUUGCUUCGCCUUGGUGCCUUCAGUUUGGCCAGGUUCUCACAACUCACGUAUUCACAAAAACUGCAAAAAGAACUAAAAAUGAAAAACUCCGUUAUAGUUUACCAUUUCUUUAUAACUAAAUACUAACACUAAACACACACCUAUACUUAGUAAGUAAUUGAUCCUUUUUCAAGAUUGAUUUCGAAGUUCGCACUGUAGCACUACUUUACGUCUUCGGUCAGUGAAGCCCGAAUGCCCAAGAUCGAAUGCCCCAAGCUCUAACGCAUUCGAUCGGUAAAAGCUUAGUUGCAUGAUACAUUGUUAGUUCUAUUGCGUGAUUGGCCGAAAUUGCCGCCAUAGGGCAUAAUGAAUUUUGAUUGGCCAUUCAAGAUUGCACGUCACUAAUGUUUUUGCUCGCUAUACAGGUGAUCUUGAUACGCGGAAAAAUACUGGCACUAGUUGUCAAAUAGAAAUCCAUUUUAUGAUUAAAACAACUGAAUAUCUCCUGUAAUAUACUUUAUUUCGAUUCCAUAUUUUUGUCAGAGCUAUAGUUCUCAUAACCAAACAUAAUUACAAAAUUUCAACUAGUUUCAUGAAGAAUAAUGAAAGAUAUAAUUGACUGAAUACAUCAAAAUGGUUUUCUAUUCGGACAACCCUUUCUGAGCGCUGAUUGGCUAAAAUACGAACACGAGAUCACAUGGAUUCUAAUUCAGAAAAAUGAAUCUUAAAUCACCCAGAGCCAAUAACAUUUAUUGUCAUUUAGUGUCAUCUACCGUCAUCUACUUGUCAUCUAGUGUUCUCUACCGUAGUGUCAUCUACCGUGAUCUAUAGUGUCAUCUAUCAUCAUCCAGUGUCAUCUACCGUAAUGUCAUCUACCGUAAUGUCAUCUAUAGUGCAGUCUACCGUCAUCUAGUGUGGUGUCUUCUACCGUAGUGUCAUCUAUCGUCAUCUAGUGUCCUCUACCGUAGUCUCAUCUACCGUGAUCUAUAGUGUCAUCUAUCGUAAUCUAGUGUCAUCUACCAUAGUGUCAUCUAUAGUGCAGUCUACCGUCAUCUAGUGUAGUGUCUUCUACCGUAGUGUCAUCUACCGUCAUCUAGCAACUCGCCUGCGUCUAAGUUUGGUGACCUCUGCAGUUAUUAAGUUAGUAAUGUGAUAUUCAAUACUUUGAAGGUCAAUUCAACAAUACACCCUUUCGAUAAUUACGUCAUUUGGCCUGGAAGCCUCGCUCUCAUGAAUCGUCAGCCAAUCGCCUUGCGUCUUUACUAGGGAGUUUAGGAAUGUAAGACGGCGACGUCAGGACGACGCUAAACAAACUGUUUGAAAUAAAUGAUUGUAUCGAAGUCUUGAAUGAUUAUAGUUGGUUAACCAUCGUAUUCGGGUUAAAUUAUAAGUUUCACAAGCAAAUUUGAGGCUCACACACAGCAAAAACUCAUUUUCUUUUAAGAAAAGAAUUCUUAAUUUAAGAAAAUAUUUCUAAAAAUGAGAAUAAGGAAAACGACUCUUAAAUAUGUAUAAUUAUUAAGAUUGUAUGGAAAUCUUGUCUUGUACUUACUUUCGUAUGAAUUUAAAAUAGUUUCGAACUAGUAAAACAGAGCUUUAACCUUAGAGCAAUGUUGAUCAACUCUGCUAGAAAAACUACAGUACCUGUCACGGCUAAUUGAAAUGCUAACGUACCACAGAAGACGUGAAAAUAUGCAUUUUGCCGUUGUCAACAGUACUUGGACGACGUAUAGAAACCCUGCUAUACUUUUAAUUAUUCAUUUCUUUUCUGUUAUAGGGUUAAGGGCAUUGUAUUGAUAGCCGUCGUCCCCAACUAACGAGAGCGAGGCUACCAGGCCGAAAAAGUGUUCGUGACGUGAUUAUCGAAAAGGGUGUAUUCCAAACUUUUAAAAAAACUUCUUAAAUCUCUAUGUCCACAACACUAAUAAAGUUCUGUCUAAUUAACUAACUUACAUAUUAUUUGUAAUAUCAUUAUUCUAAUUUCAUAAUUUUCUAGUGUUUUUUUGUAUAUAUAUAUUCUACAUGUACACUGUAGUUUUAUAAUUGGCAAUAAAACGCGGAUAUGAUUUUGAAAUGCACGAGAAGCGUUCUCAAUACCAUAUCCGCGUUUUGUCCAAAAGUAUACGAGUUUAAAAUUGACUUUCACGCCUAUUAUCUGUCCGACCGCUACUCAUUCGUUUGUCACUCAUCCGUCCAUCCGUACCCGCGUUUUAUCCUAUCAAAACAUUUUGGAUUUAAGCAACGUUUACACGUUGAAGGAAAUUUUCUUUUGAAAUGAAAUUUUAACAAAAUGAAAUGAGCUCAAGGAAACUUGAAGGAAAAACUGAAGAACUGAACACUUACACUGUACUGAAGGGUGAAAUCAUAGUACUUCUACAGACCCUAUUUAUUGACAUACAGUAUCUUAAUUUUUUGGUGCCACAAACGUGAGCAAAUUGUAGGGAAUCCAGCUAAGGGAUGUUCGCCGAUUUUAGAUUCCCUGAAAUGGUCUUUCCUGAGUUCUGGGGAAGAAUUGUUCAUUUUUGCUCAGUCAAGCAAACUCCAUAAGGGGCUGACCAUUUGAAAAGUGAUGAGAGGGGGGGGGGUACAGAAGAAACAAAAAAAUUCGUUCAAACGGAGAAAAAAAAGAAAAAAGUCUUGCAAAGAGCGAGAGCGAAUGAAAACUCCGAAAAAAAAAUUCCAGCACAAGGAGACGGCCGGGAAAAAAUCCGUACUGUACCCCUGUUGGCCCCUAUUUCAAUGCUGUUUUGGAAUUUUUUUUUAUUUUGUGAAAGGAAAUUUGCAUUGAAAUUUUGAAAAAAGGAAAUAGCGCCUGUUUUCCCAAGCUAGGAGGGUCUUUUACCUGCGCUCGGGCUACGGAGCACCGUGCCACAGAUGAUAGAUUAUACAUGAUAAUAUAUGAUAUAUUAUCUAUCAUCUGACCGUGCGGAAGUAAAAGACCCUGCCUUGCGUUUUGCUUGCAAGGUUGCUGUUUUCGCAGGCUACUUGACUUAAAGGAAAAACUGUUUUCUAAAAGUGGAAACACUGCAUUUAAGGUUUCGAAAUUCUUACAGUAAUUCUAUUUGACCAGUGUAGUUGACUGAUGCAAUACUAUAUAUUUUGGAUAUAGACUACUUUUGGAUAUACAUUAUCAAUAUCGAAAUAUCGAAUAGUAUUCAGUGAAAUGAAGCUAAGUCUGCCAAGAUUAUUCAGUGUAUUUUAAACUGGUAAGGAAAUAUCUUUACUGUAUUUAUAUUUUAUAACGUUAUCAUUCUUUAUUUUAUUAUUUUAUUUUCAGGGGGAAAGAAGCAUGAUUUUAAGCCAGUUUUCAACUGAAACGUAGCGUAUUUCUUUGUUUCUUGAGCACUAGUGUGCCUAAUGACUUUGACACAAAAGAAAAUGCUACGGUACGAUACGGUUGAAGCGGAAAACAGGCUUUAGUAUGUCAUACGAAAUUGGCAAGAAAAAUGUUUUGCCGGCGUAGCGGAGUUGGGAAAAAUCGCGAUUGUUGUGAAUCAUGGCCAGUAUCCUACUCUAUCGUUAAAUUGUUUUAGCAUAAAUAUACUCUGGAUACGGUCAUGAGAAGGCAAGCUUUGAUUGAUUUUGGGCUUGCAGGCUGCAGCGGCCACCAGAGGCAGAUCUGGAGUUUAGGCCACUCCAAAUUAGACUUUAGUUUCAUGUCCGGGCCUUAUUUCAAAUUACAUGUGGGUGGGCGGUCCAUUAUCCAUUAUGGUGUCUGAACGAAUCUGACACGACCCAUUAUUCCAUGAAAUAGAUACACAUUUUAAAUAUCC